Molecule: long non-coding RNA, 100 nt
Organism: Sapajus apella (tufted capuchin)
Lineage: Eukaryota; Metazoa; Chordata; Mammalia; Primates; Cebidae
Exons: 3
Source: RefSeq, a predicted model, not a curated record
UGCUGCCAGUCUGAUCCACUGCAGCUUUCUGAAUCCUGGCAAAACCAUUACAUCUAAAAAGUAUGCUCAGCAAAUGGAUGAGAUGCACAGAGAACUACAA